Molecule: ribosomal RNA, 259 nt
Filed under: uncultured Serratia sp.
Lineage: Bacteria; Pseudomonadati; Pseudomonadota; Gammaproteobacteria; Enterobacterales; Yersiniaceae
Description: partial 16S ribosomal RNA
Rfam family: Bacterial small subunit ribosomal RNA
Source: RNAcentral
UGGGAAGUAUUGCACAAUGGGCGCAAGCCUGAUGCAGCCAUGCCGCGUGUGUGAAGAAGGCCUUCGGGUUGUAAAGCACUUUCAGCGAGGAGGAAGGUGGUGAGCUUAAUACGCUCAUCAAUUGACGUUACUCGCAGAAGAAGCACCGGCUAACUCCGUGCCAGCAGCCGCGGUAAUACGGAGGGUGCAAGCGUUAAUCGGAAUUACUGGGCGUAAAGCGCACGCAGGCGGUUUGUUAAGUCAGAUGUGAAAUCCCGCC